This 468-nucleotide ribosomal RNA is filed under the name uncultured bacterium. Its description in RNAcentral is "partial 16S ribosomal RNA". It matches the Rfam family "Bacterial small subunit ribosomal RNA", at positions 28 to 507 of the family's 1533-position model. The record is from RNAcentral.
GACGAACGCUGGCGGCGUGCUUAACACAUGCAAGUCGAACGGAAAGGCCCUGCUUUUGUUGGUUGCUCGAGUGGCGAACGGGUGAGUAACACGUGAGUAACCUGCCCUUGACUUUGGGAUAACUCCUGGAAACUGGGGCUAAUACCGGAUAGGAUCUCCUGCUGCAUGUUGUGGGUUGGAGAGUUUCGGCGGUUGGGUAUGGACUCGCGGCUUAUCCGCUUGUUGGUGGGGUAGUGGCUUCCCAAGGGUUUGACGGGUAGCCGGCCUGAGAGGGUGACCGGCCACAUUGGGACUGAGAGACGGCCCAGACUCCUACGGGAGGCAGAAGGGGGGAAUAUGGAACAAUGGGCGGAAGCCAGAGGCAGCAACGCUGGGUGCGGAAUGACGGCUUUCGGGUUGAAAACCGCUUUGGAAGGAGACAAAGCGUGAGUGACGGUAAUGGGUAAAGAAGCACCGGCUAACUACGUG